Molecule: ribosomal RNA, 519 nt
Filed under: uncultured Planctomycetota bacterium
Lineage: Bacteria; Pseudomonadati; Planctomycetota
Description: bacterial SSU rRNA
Rfam family: Bacterial small subunit ribosomal RNA
Source: RNAcentral
GUGGGUAACCGGCCCCGAGGUUCGGAAUAGCCCUCCUAACGGAGGGGUAAUACCGGAUGUUCCCGUGUGGAGGCAUCUCCGUGCGGGCAAAGCUCCGGCGCCCUGGGAGGGGCCCACGUGAUAUUAGCUAGUUGGCGGGGUAACGGCCCACCAAGGCGGAGAUGUCUAGCGGGUGUGAGAGCACGACCCGCGCCACUCGCACUGAGACACUGGCGAGACACCUACGGGUGGCUGCAGUCGAGGAUCUUCGGCAAUGCGCGCAAGCGCGACCGAGCGACGCCGCGUGUGCGACGAAGGCCUUCGGGUUGUAAAGCACUGUCGAGGGGGAGAAAAGCCCGCAAGGGUGUGAUCUAUCCCUGGAGGAAGCUCGGGCUAAGUUCGUGCCAGCAGCCGCGGUAAGACGAACCGAGCGAACGUUGUUCGGAAUCACUGGGCUUAAAGGGCGCGUAGGCGGGCUGCAAAGUCUGGGGUGAAAUCCGUCGGCUCAACCGGCGAAGUGCCUCGGAUACUGGCGGUCUC